ACGGCUUUCAUCAUUUACGUAAUUAGAAACCUUACCUGGCACAAGGACCAAUUUCUAAUAAGGUCUGGUUUGUUAUCUUAUUAUGUGAAAAGUCUUGUGAUUACGGACUAUUACCAAUGAUUUUUUAGAACUAAAAUUGUUAUUUGGAUAUUUGUAUCUUGAUGUAAAUGUACCCUGCUGGAAAAAAAGCACAAUGCUUAUUUAUUUUACCAGCUAAACUCUUCUAAUUGAUCGUCGCAGCUGAUCUAUUCUGGUUAUAGUUGCGGUCAAGGUUGGUUCUUUACACCUUGUACAAGUGAUCCACGAUUAAGGGACUAACAAAUAUUUUAAGGCUGCAUGUCAAAAAGGUCAAUUUCUCAUAAUGGGAGCAAAUUACUGUUCCGUCAAGUGUAAGAGCUAUUGUUGCUUUAAAUCUUCAUAACUAUGGAAGUGGA
Long non-coding RNA from Humulus lupulus (European hop), 434 nucleotides. RefSeq lists it as uncharacterized. The record is from RefSeq and is a predicted model, not a curated record. Lineage: Eukaryota; Viridiplantae; Streptophyta; Magnoliopsida; Rosales; Cannabaceae. The transcript has 3 exons.